Molecule: long non-coding RNA, 947 nt
Organism: Ostrea edulis (European flat oyster)
Lineage: Eukaryota; Metazoa; Mollusca; Bivalvia; Ostreida; Ostreidae
Exons: 2
Source: RefSeq, a predicted model, not a curated record
UAGAUUUGAUAACGUACCAACUUCAUGUCAUAUCCCAAUAACAUUCAAAAAUGAUAUUUUAUUUCUUAUAUUUAUAUUUCCUAUUUUGAUUUGUGUUCUUACCGAGCUUCCAUGAUUAUGUAGCAGAUGACCAAAAUAACGAUCGUAGAACACAAAAUAUAGUUCGUAAGAGUUUUAUCGAAUAAAAAAUUAGGAACAAUAUCAAAGAGAAUAUAAGAUAUGGAAAUUUAAUUGAAAAUGUAAAAAAAAAAAAAAAAAAAAAGACGAAACAUGUGUAAAAAUAAAGCUAAUUUAGAGCGUAAAGUUAACUGAAAUGACGACAAGAAGAGCGGAGUAAACUACAUCCGUGGUGUGAUUUGGUCGCAAUCAGCGAUGGAGAAACUGGCGUCGGUCUAACUACUAAGUUGAAAACGCAAUUGUUGAUCACAGAUUUCGACAGAAAUUCAAAGGAUUUGAGAGAAUUGAUGGUGGAUAUGAUGGGUCAAGUUAACAUUAAGCUCUUAGUCAGGUUUUUGGAAAGAAACAACGGUAUGUUCAUCGUUAGGACUCGUGGUUGUAGACGAUUCAAGACAGUAGGACAGAUUUAGACCAAGUGCAGGAUUUUAAUGAAGACUCGCACCGGUACCCUGACAUGAACAUGUAAAUUUUUCGAGCCUCGAAACCAGCCUCGCUUAUGAUCAUGCCGAGUCAUAGCCAUGAUGGAAGUUGCCAGGAAACAACAGGUUAACUUAUCAUCAUGAAGUAAAUACAUGUAGGCUUAUAACUCUGCCUACAUGUUUUCGCUUCCAAUAUCAUAGAACUUUAUUUUAUAAAUUCGCCAUGCAGAAGUUGCAGACGGUAUUUAAAACUGUAUAAAAUGAAACAACAGAACGAUAUAUGUUUAAUGUUUGUCUUUUAUAAAUUGAUGAAAUUCUUGUUUGUUUACAAAAUAAACUGUAUAAAUAUCC